This 305-nucleotide ribosomal RNA is filed under the name uncultured bacterium. RNAcentral describes it as "bacterial SSU rRNA". It matches the Rfam family "Bacterial small subunit ribosomal RNA", at positions 338 to 660 of the family's 1533-position model. The record is from RNAcentral.
CCUACGGGGGGCAGCAGUGGGGAAUAUUGCACAAUGGGGGGAACCCUGAUGCAGCGACGCCGCGUGAAGGAAGAAGUAUUUCGGUAUGCAAACUUCUAUCAGCAGGGAAGAAAAUGACGGUACCUGACUAAGAAGCCCCGGCUAACUACGUGCCAGCAGCCGCGGUAAUACGUAGGGGGCAAGCGUUAUCCGGAUUUACUGGGUGUAAAGGGAGCGUAGACGGCGGUGCAAGCCAGAUGUGAAAGCCCGGGGCUCAACCCCGGGACUGCAUUUGGAACUGUGCUGCUAGAGUGUCGGAGAGGCAG